UUCGGGAGACCGGAGCUAAUACCGGAUAAUAUUUGAACCGCAUGGUUAAAAAGUGAAAGACGGUCUUGCUGUCACUUAUAGAUGGAUCCGCGCUGCAUUAGCUAGUUGGUAAGGUAACGGCUUGCCAAGGCAACGAUGCAUAGCCGACCUGAGAGGGUGAUCGGCCACACUGGAACUGAGACACGGUCCAG
Molecule: ribosomal RNA, 191 nt
Filed under: uncultured Staphylococcus sp.
Lineage: Bacteria; Bacillati; Bacillota; Bacilli; Caryophanales; Staphylococcaceae
Description: partial 16S ribosomal RNA
Rfam family: Bacterial small subunit ribosomal RNA
Source: RNAcentral